This is a small nucleolar RNA of Cynara cardunculus var. scolymus (artichoke), 106 nucleotides long. NCBI's taxonomy places the organism in Eukaryota, Viridiplantae, Streptophyta, Magnoliopsida, Asterales, Asteraceae. The record is from RefSeq and is a predicted model, not a curated record.
AUGCCAUGGUGAGGGCAUUUCCUUAAAAAAAUUUUGAACAUUUCCCAAGCAUACCAAAUUGAUUCAUCUUCCAUUUGUCUAAACAUGGAAAUUUCAUUUUUGACUU